CCCUUGUGGAGGAGGACGCCGAAGGUGGGGCUAAUGACUGGGGUGAAGUCGUAACAAGGUAGCCGUACCGGAAGGUGCGGCUGGAUCACCUCCUAACAGGGAGACAACAAAAUGUUUAAUAUUAUUAUUUUGUCACCUUAGGUCGAUCGGUAUCUCACGUUUUUAAUUUAUUAAGAAUUUCAUUUCCUAAGUUUUUCUAGGUCACACCCAUUAUUUUUCCUGGGCCAUUAGCUCAGGUGGUUAGAGCGCACCCCUGAUAAGGGUGAGGUCCCUGGUUCAAGUCCAGGAUGGCCCAUAUCUCUAUGUUGGGGGUAUAGCUCAGUUGGUAGAGCGCCUGCUUUGCAAGCAGGAUGUCAGCGGUUCGAGUCCGCUUACCUCCACUGAUUACCACCUCUUCCAUAACCGGUAGAAAGGAAAUGUUUUGAGUUGUGAUCAAAUUCUGAAAGAAUCUAGCUUCCUAAUGAAUUCAUUAAGAUGCUGGACUCAUUGAAUUAAUUUCAUUGUUUUCAGAGAACCUUGACAACUGCAUAGAUUAUUUUUAAAGACAAUAAGUAUCUUUAAUGAUGCAGAUUUAUUAUUUGUGCGAAUGCAUUAAUAACAAUUCUAUUAAGCUGAUGCUUCAAUUUUUGAAGUUAUUGGUCAAGCUACAAAGGGCUCACGGAGGAUACCUAGGCACACAGAGGCGA
This 686-nucleotide unclassified non-coding RNA is filed under the name uncultured Prochlorococcus sp. Its description in RNAcentral is "partial may contain 16S ribosomal RNA, 16S-23S ribosomal RNA intergenic spacer, and 23S ribosomal RNA". The stretch from base 1 to 96 matches the Rfam family "Bacterial small subunit ribosomal RNA", at positions 1438 to 1533 of the family's 1533-position model. Lineage: Bacteria; Bacillati; Cyanobacteriota; Cyanophyceae; Synechococcales; Prochlorococcaceae. The record is from RNAcentral.